GGGGGGCAACCUCCUUGAGAGUGGCGAACGGGUGAGUAAUGCAUCGGAACGUGCCCAGUCGUGGGGGAUAGCCCGGGGAAACCCGGAUUAAUACCGCAUACGACCUGAGGGUGAAAGCGGGGGACCGAAAGGCCUCGCGCGAUUGGAGCGGCCGAUGUCGGAUUAGGUAGUUGGUGGGGUAAAGGCCUACCAAGCCUGCGAUCCGUAGCUGGUCUGAGAGGACGACCAGCCACACUGGGACUGAGACACGGCCCAGACUCCUACGGGAGGCAGCAGUGGGGAAUUUUGGACAAUGGGGGCAACCCUGAUCCAGCCAUGCCGCGUGCGGGAAGAAGGCCUUCGGGUUGUAAACCGCUUUUGUCAGGGAAGAAAUGUCCUGGGUUAAUAACCUGGGGGGAUGACGGUACCUGAAGAAUAAGCACCGGCUAACUACGUGCCAGCAGCCGCGGUAAUACGUAGGGUGCGAGCGUUAAUCGGAAUUACUGGGCGUAAAGCGUGCGCAGGCGGUCAUACAAGACAGAUGUGAAAUCCCCGGGCUCAACCUGGGAACUGCAUUUGUGACUGUAUGGCUGGAGUACGGUAGAGGGGAGUGGAAUUCCGCGUGUAGCAGUGAAAUGCGUAGAUAUGCGGAGGAACACCGAUGGCGAAGGCAGCUCCCUGGACCUGUACUGACGCUCAUGCACGAAAGCGUGGGGAGCAAACAGGAU
Molecule: ribosomal RNA, 707 nt
Filed under: uncultured beta proteobacterium
Lineage: Bacteria; Pseudomonadati; Pseudomonadota; Betaproteobacteria
Description: bacterial SSU rRNA
Rfam family: Bacterial small subunit ribosomal RNA
Source: RNAcentral